This 586-nucleotide long non-coding RNA is filed under the name Bos taurus (domestic cattle). RNAcentral's name for it is "long non-coding RNA NONBTAT018348". Lineage: Eukaryota; Metazoa; Chordata; Mammalia; Artiodactyla; Bovidae. The record is from RNAcentral.
AAACUCAGUGGUUUUUCAAAGGGAAUUUGUGCUAUAGUCUAUGGCUUUAAAAAAAUACUGCAAAAUUUAUGUUUAAAUGGUAGAAUAUUUUGUUCAACACACUUUAUAAUUGUUUGAAGAUUAGGGUGUCUGAACAUUAAUGGCUUCUUACUAAAUCUCAUGACAUUUAACCAGUUUUAAGGUUUUUAAAUCAAUUCCUUUUCAGUGAACAUUGUUUUUUGAGUCUCAAGUUUCUUCUAAGGCAAAGUUGUGAAAAAUUUGUAAAUGAGAAAUUUUUAUGUGUGAGAUCCUCAAAUACAGACAUAACCCUUUCUAGCUUUAGAUUAUAGCCACCCUUGGUGCAACUUAAUGCCUCCCUCUCAUUUCAAUGAACAGAAAGAAUAUUCCCCUUAAUUGGUGUUAGUGCUUAGUUAGUGCUCCAUCAUUCAGCUUCGGUUACCAACUUAAUCUUUCUUGUUCUUCUGUUUACUUACUGCCCAUAUUAGCACAAAUCCCAGACAUAUUAUAUCAUCAGACUUUCUGGGAUAUUUUCCAUGUCAUGUUUUACUCCUGCUCAUAGUUGCAAUUGUAUAAGAAUAUCAGGGCU